CCUACGGGGUGCAGCAGUGAGGAAUAUUGGUCAAUGGACGAGAGUCUGAACCAGCCAAGUAGCGUGAAGGAUGACUGCCCUAUGGGUUGUAAACUUCUUUUAUAUGGGAAUAAAAUGUUCCACGUGUGGGAUUUUGUAUGUACCAUAUGAAUAAGGAUCGGCUAACUCCGUGCCAGCAGCCGCGGUAAUACGGAGGAUCCGAGCGUUAUCCGGAUUUAUUGGGUGUAAAGGGAGCGUAGGUGGAUUGUUAAGUCAGUUGUGAAAGUUUGCGGCUCAACCGUAAAAUUGCAGUUGACACUGGCAGUCUUGAGUACAGUAGAGGUGGGCGGAAUUCGUGGUGUAGAGGUGAAAUGCUUAGAUAUCACGAAGAACUCCGAUUGCGAAGGCAGUUCACUGGACUGCAACUGACACUGAGGCUCGAAAGUGUGGGUAUCAAACAGGAUUAGAUACCCCGGUAGUC
This 460-nucleotide ribosomal RNA is filed under the name uncultured bacterium. RNAcentral's name for it is "partial 16S ribosomal RNA". It matches the Rfam family "Bacterial small subunit ribosomal RNA", at positions 338 to 795 of the family's 1533-position model. The record is from RNAcentral.